This 483-nucleotide long non-coding RNA is filed under the name Sinocyclocheilus anshuiensis. Its description in RNAcentral is "lncRNA (ENSSANG00000002286.1)". Lineage: Eukaryota; Metazoa; Chordata; Actinopteri; Cypriniformes; Cyprinidae. The record is from RNAcentral.
CUUAACGCCUUGAGAUGUGUUUGUGACUGCGAGAGGCCUGUGCUAUCACUGCUGGAGUCUAUCACUUGUCUGUUGCCAAAGGGGUCUCUACAGCCUUAUGACGGUGAUAUGGCAUGCAAGAAAGUGUAGCAAGCAUCACUGUAAUUGUUCCCACAGGACUGUGCUAAAGGCGAGAAAAUCCCACAGAUGCACAUCGAUGGAAGGACUCGAGUCAUAGAGAGCAGCAUAUAAGAGAGACGUGGGGGUGAAAAAACACCCAGAAAACACAGUAACCACCCAGCAACUUCCAUAAAACUAUGCCCUAAACCCCUCUGAACACCUCCAGAGCCCCGUAUGCUGAAGAUGAAGGUCAAGUAAUCGUACUCAACCCUCCACAUUCCCUGCUUACAUUUGGAAGAUUGAUUGAUUCUGAGAGGAACAUCAAAUCAACAAUUAAAUCUGAUUUCACUCUCAGCAUAAUGCAUUAAAUGUAAUCUAUUAAAG